UACGUAGGGUGCAAGCGUUGUCCGGAAUUAUUGGGCGUAAAGAGCUCGUAGGCGGUCUGUCGCGUCGGAUGUGAAAAUCCAGGGCCCAACCCUGGACCUGCAUUCGAUACGGGCAGACUAGAGUUCGGUAGGGGAGACUGGAAUUCCUGGUGUAGCGGUGAAAUGCGCAGAUAUCAGGAGGAACACCGGUGGCGAAGGCGGGUCUCUGGGCCGAUAUUGACGCUGAGGAGCGAAAGCGUGGGGAGCGAACAGG
RNAcentral lists this ribosomal RNA (253 nucleotides) under uncultured bacterium. RNAcentral's name for it is "partial 16S ribosomal RNA". It matches the Rfam family "Bacterial small subunit ribosomal RNA", at positions 524 to 776 of the family's 1533-position model. The record is from RNAcentral.